Molecule: ribosomal RNA, 497 nt
Filed under: uncultured bacterium
Lineage: Bacteria
Description: partial 16S ribosomal RNA
Rfam family: Bacterial small subunit ribosomal RNA
Source: RNAcentral
GAUGAACGCUGGCGGCGUGCCUAAUACAUGCAAGUCGAGCGAACAGACGCGGAGCUUGCUCCUCUGACGUUAGCGGCGGACGGGUGAGUAACACGUGUAUAACCUCCCUAUAAGACUGGGAUAACUUCGGGACACCGGAGCUAAUACCGGAUAAUCUAUUGCACCGCAUGGUUCAAUGGUGAAAGACGGUUUUGCUGUCACUUAUAGCUGGAUCCGCGCUGCUUUAGCUAGUUGGUACGGUAACGGCUUAUCAAGGCAACGAUGCGUAUCCGACCUGAGAGGGGGAUCGGCCACACUGGAGCUGAGACACGGUCCAUACGCCUAAGGUACGCAGCAGUAGGGAAUCUUCCGCAAUGGGCGAAAGCUUUACGGAGCAACGCCGCGUGAGUGAUGGAGGUCUUGGGAUCGUAAUACUCUGUUUUUAGGGAAGAACAAAUGUGUAAGUAACUGUGCACGUCUUGACGGUACCUAGUCAGAAAGCCACGGCUAACUACGUG